CAGCAGCCACUGUAAUACGGAGGGUGCAAGCGUUAAUCGGAAUUACUGGGCGUAAAGCGCACGCAGGCGGUCUGUCAAGUCAGAUGUGAAAUCCCCGGGCUUAACCUGGGAACUGCAUUUGAAACUGGCAGGCUAGAGUCUUGUAGAGGGGGGUAGAAUUCCAGGUGUAGCGGUGAAAUGCGUAGAGAUCUGGAGGAAUACCGGUGGCGAAGGCGGCCCCCUGGACAAAGACUGACGCUCAGGUGCGAAAGCGUGGGGAGCAAACAGGAUUAGAUACCCCAGUAGUCCCUGUCUCUUAUAC
RNAcentral lists this ribosomal RNA (301 nucleotides) under uncultured bacterium. RNAcentral describes it as "partial 16S ribosomal RNA". It matches the Rfam family "Bacterial small subunit ribosomal RNA", at positions 509 to 807 of the family's 1533-position model. The record is from RNAcentral.